Molecule: ribosomal RNA, 497 nt
Filed under: uncultured bacterium
Lineage: Bacteria
Description: partial 16S ribosomal RNA
Rfam family: Bacterial small subunit ribosomal RNA
Source: RNAcentral
GAUGAACGCUGGCGGCGUGCCUAAUACAUGCAAGUCGAGCGAACGGACGCGAAGCUUGCUUCUCUGAUGUUAGCGGCGGACGGGUGAGUAACACGUGGAUAACCUACCUAUAAGACUGAGAUAACUUCGGGACACCGGCGCUAAUACCGGAUAAUAUUUUGAACCGCAUGGUUCAAAAGUGAAAGACGGUCUUGCUGUCACGUAUAGAUGCAUCCGCGCUGCAUUAGCUAGUUGGUAAGGUAACGGCUUACCAAGGCAACGAUGCAUAGCCGACCUGAGAGGGUGAUCGGCCACACUGGAACUGAGCCAGCGUCCUGACUACUGCGGGAGGCAGCAGUAGCGAAUCGUCCGCAAUGGGCGAGAGCCUGACGGAGCAACGCCGCGUGAGUUAUGAAGGUCUUCCGAUCGUAAAGCUCUGUUAUUAGGGAAGAACAUAUGUGUAAUUAACUGUGCACAUCUUGACGGUACCUAAUCAGAAAGCCACGGCUAACUACGUG